Molecule: non-coding RNA, 50 nt
Filed under: Trichobilharzia regenti
Lineage: Eukaryota; Metazoa; Platyhelminthes; Trematoda; Strigeidida; Schistosomatidae
Source: RNAcentral
GUACUACUGAAGAGUCCCAAAAUAGGACUAGUGAAACAACUGUCCAGUAC